UCAGAUGCGAAAGCGUGGGUAGCAAACAGGAUUAGAUACCCUGGUAGUCCACGCCGUAAACGCUGUCUACUUGGAGGUUGAGGUUUUAGACUUUGGCUUUCGGCGCUAACGCAUUAAGUAGACCGCCUGGGGAGUACGGCCGCAAGGUUAAAACUCAAAUGAAUUGACGGGGGCCCGCACAAGCGGUGGAGCAUGUGGUUUAAUUCGAUGCAACGCGAAGAACCUUACCUACUCUUGACAUCCAGCGAAGCCUUUAGAGAUAGAGGCGUGCCUUCGGGAGCGCUGAGACAGGUGCUGCAUGGCUGUCGUCAGCUCGUGUUGUGAAAUGUUGGGUUAAGUCCCGCAACGAGCGCAACCCUUAUCCUUGUUUGCCAGCACGUAAUGGUGGGAACUCCAGGGAGACUGCCGGUGAUAAACCGGAGGAAGGUGGGGACGACGUCAAGUCAUCAUGGCCCUUACGAGUAGGGCUACACACGUGCUACAAUGGCAGAUACAGAGGGCAGCGAGACAGCGAUGUUUAGCGAAUCCCUUAAAGUUUGUCGUAGUCCGGAUUGGAGUCUGCAACUCGACUCCAUGAAGUCGGAAUCGCUAGUAAUCGUGGAUCAGAAUGCCACGGUGAAUACGUUCCCGGGCCUUGUACACUCCGCCC
RNAcentral lists this ribosomal RNA (649 nucleotides) under uncultured bacterium. RNAcentral describes it as "bacterial SSU rRNA". It matches the Rfam family "Bacterial small subunit ribosomal RNA", at positions 747 to 1395 of the family's 1533-position model. The record is from RNAcentral.